ACUGCAGUUACAGCCCUGAAUCUUUAGCAGGAAAUCUUCUAGUCUGGACCUUGGAUGCGUUGCCUUGGAGGGGAAUAGAAAUAACAGUGAAGCAAGCCUAGGGAAGAGCAGAAGAGCAAAAGGAGAAGGCUAAAAGAUGUCCGCUGAAGUUUUCAUUUUAACAGUCACAAGGUAACGCAAGACCAUGCAUCUGAGAUUUUGAAAUAGAAGUAGAAGGUAAAUAAGUCAUUAUC
Molecule: long non-coding RNA, 233 nt
Filed under: Taeniopygia guttata (zebra finch)
Lineage: Eukaryota; Metazoa; Chordata; Aves; Passeriformes; Estrildidae
Description: lncRNA (ENSTGUG00000019199.1)
Source: RNAcentral